UUCGUGAUUUCCGGUGACGAAAUUAAUUCGGCGGUUAAUCUGAGGAUUAUUGAAGUGAUCAGAUUCACUUCGAACUGAUCCGUGGAAGAGGCAGGAGUGGCCCAAGUGUUCUCGCGCCGUGGUAGUUUGUGUAAGAUAGCGUAGCUUAUUAGUCGUGUGUGCAAAAGUUAAACGGUGUGUUAUCGUGUGUGCUGGUGGUUGAUAACGACAGAUCCGUGACCACGCCGCUACGACGCCCGACAACCCACACCGAACCAUCGAGGCCAUUCUUGACCCCACCAUCAGAUUGCGAGGUUCUCCCGGGGCACGCCGGAAGAGGGACGCGAUCGCCAAUCAACGCGCGCCCUAGGCAGGGCAUCACAGAAGAAGAAGAAGAAGA
Molecule: long non-coding RNA, 379 nt
Organism: Armigeres subalbatus
Lineage: Eukaryota; Metazoa; Arthropoda; Insecta; Diptera; Culicidae
Exons: 3
Source: RefSeq, a predicted model, not a curated record